UGGCGAACGGGUGAGUAACACGUGAGCAACCUGCCCUUGGCUCUGGGACAACCACUGGAAACGGUGGCUAAUACCGGAUACGACCCAUGCAGGCAUCUGUUGUGGGUGGAAAGAUUUUUCGGCUGGGGAUGGGCUCGCGGCCUAUCAGCUUGUUGGUGGGGUGAUGGCCUACCAAGGCGACGACGGGUAGCCGGCCUGAGAGGGCGACCGGCCACACUGGGACUGAGACACGGCCCAGACUCCUACGGGAGGCAGCAGUGGGGAAUAUUGCACAAUGGGCGCAAGCCUGAUGCAGCGACGCCGCGUGAGGGAUGACGGCCUUCGGGUUGUAAACCUCUUUCAGCAGGGAAGAAGCGAAAGUGACGGUACCUGCAGAAGAAGCACCGGCUAACUACGUGCCAGCAGCCGCGGUAAUACGUAGGGUGCAAGCGUUGUCCGGAAUUAUUGGGCGUAAAGAGCUCGUAGGCGGUGUGUCGCGUCUGCUGUGAAAACUCAGGGCUCAACUCUGAGCUUGCAGUGGGUACGGGCACACUUGAGUGCUGUAGGGGAGACUGGAAUUCCUGGUGUAGCGGUGAAAUGCGCAGAUAUCAGGAGGAACACCGGUGGCGAAGGCGGGUCUCUGGGCAGUUACUGACGCUGAGGAGCGAAAGCAUGGGGAGCGAACAGGAUUAGAUACCCUGGUAGUCCAUGCCGUAAACGUUGGGCGCUAGGUGUGGGGUCCAUUCCACGGAUUCCGUGCCGCAGCUAACGCAUUAAGCGCCCCGCCUGGGGAGUACGGCCGCAAGGCUAAAACUCAAAGGAAUUGACGGGGGCCCGCACAAGCGGCGGAGCAUGCGGAUUAAUUCGAUGCAACGCGAAGAACCUUACCAAGGCUUGACAUGCGCGGUGGAAUCCCAGAGAUGGGGUGUCAUUUAGUUGGUCGCGUACAGGUGGUGCAUGGUUGUCGUCAGCUCGUGUCGUGAGAUGUUGGGUUAAGUCCCGCAACGAGCGCAACCCUCGUUCCAUGUUGCCAGCAAUUCGGUUGGGGACUCAUGGGAGACUGUCGGGGUCAACUCGGAGGAAGGUGGGGAUGACGUCAAAUCAUCAUGCCCCUUAUGUUCUUGGGCUUCACGCAUGCUACAAUGGCCAGUACAGAGGGCUGCGAUACCGUGAGGUGGAGCGAAUCCCAAAAAGCUGGUCUCAGUUCGGAUCGGGGUCUGCAACUCGACCCCGUGAAGUCGGAGUCGCUAGUAAUCGCAGAUCAGCAACGCUGCGGUGAAUACGUUCCCGGGCCUUGUACACACCGCCCGUCACGUCAUGAAAGUCGGUA
RNAcentral lists this ribosomal RNA (1309 nucleotides) under uncultured Kineococcus sp. RNAcentral's name for it is "bacterial SSU rRNA". It matches the Rfam family "Bacterial small subunit ribosomal RNA", at positions 96 to 1416 of the family's 1533-position model. The record is from RNAcentral. Lineage: Bacteria; Bacillati; Actinomycetota; Actinomycetes; Kineosporiales; Kineosporiaceae.